AAGCAUUAAGGGAAUACCUAAAACAUCAUAAAUUUAUCUACGGACGUUUAAUAUGAUAUAUCUAUGUUGAGUAAUAAAAUUUACUGCGAUCCAUAGAGUUCCGUAAAACAGAAAACUGAUCUUUUUAUUUAAGAUACUAUUUAUUUAAAAAAUUAAUAGUUGAAAAUUUAGUGAAUUGAAACAUCUAAGUAACUAAAUAAAAAAUCAAUAGAGAUACCGUUAGUAGUGGCGAACGAAACCGGUAAAGACUUUAUAAUUUGUUACACAAUAUUAUUUAAAAAAUAUUCCAUAGAAGGUUUUAAUAUAGUCCUGUAAAAUAAUUUGUUGUGUAUAUAUUUUAUUUUUUAAGUAAAAUGAUACUUGUCGUGUGUUGUUUGAAUAUUGGGGGACCACCCCCAAAGUCUUUAAAUUUUUGGUGAUUGAUAGUGAAUAAGUACCGUGAGGGAAAGGUGAAAUAGAUCUUUUAAAGAAUUGAAAAAGUUAUUGAAACUUAAUGCUGACAAGCAGUUGGAGCCUCUUUUUUAGUGAAGGUUACAACGUACCUUUUGCAUAAUGGAUCAACGAGUUUAUUUUAGUGGCAAGCUUAAACUGUAAAAAGAGUGUAGGCGAAAAAAAAUUAAGUUUUAAAAUUGCAUUUUUAGUCUCUGAAAUAAGACCCGAAACUAAGUGAUCUAACCAUGGACAGGUUGAAUUUUAAAGCGGUAACGCUUAUUGAAGGACCGAACUCGUGUAUGUGGAAAAAUACUGAGAUGAUCUGUGGUUAGGGGUGAAAGGCCAAUCAAACUUAGAGAUAGCUGGUUUUCUGCGAAAUCUAUUUAAGUAGAGCAUUUUUAUACUUUGUUUUAAGGUAGAGCACUCGAUAAGUAAUGGGAAUGUAAUGUUUUACUGAAUUUAACGAAACUCCGAAUAUAAAAUAAAGGUUUAAAAAUAGACAGACUAGUAAUGCUAAGAUUUCUAGUCAAGAGGGAAACAGCCCAGAUUAUUUGUUAAGGUCCUUAAAAAUAAUUAAGUGAGAAAGAAAGUAAAAAAAUAUUAACAAUUAGUAGGUAGGCUUGGAAGCAGCCAUCCUUUAAAGAAAGCGUAACAGCUCACUAAUUUAAUUUUUUAGCGUCGAAAAUGUAUAGGGACUUAAAUUAUUUACCGAAACUAUAAAUUAAAAUAUUACUAACUAUUUUAAUGGUAGCAGAACGUUCUGUAAAUUUAUGAAGAUAUAUAUUAAUAUAUAUUUGAAAUAUCAGAAUUGAAAAUGUUGAUAUGAGUAGCGACAAACAGUGUGAAAAACAUUGUCAUCUUAUGUUUAAGGUUUCUAAGGUAAAGCUAAUCUUCCUUAUAUUUAGAAUCGGCCCCUAAAAUAGAUACGAAAGUUUCUUUUGAUGGGUAAAAUUAGUUUUAAUUUUAUAUUUAUUUAUGUGACAUGUUAUAAAUUACAUUGUUAUAUUUUGGGUAAAUAAUAGUGUUUUAGUAAUUUCAAGAAAUAGCAUAAAAAAUAUUUGAUAUUUUUAAUUAAAAAUAUCAAAAUUAACCGUACUCUAAACCGACACAGGUAAACAGAUUUAGUAAAUUAAGAUGAUUGAGUUAAUUAUAUUGAAGGAACUCGGCAAAAUGACUCCGUAACUUCGGGAUAAGGAGUGACUAUUUAAGGGAAACCUUUUGUAGUUGUCACAAAAUCGAGGACAGCGACUGUUUAUUAAAAACACAGGUCUCUGCAAAUUCGUAAGAAGACGUAUAGGGACUGACGCCUGCCCAGUGCUGUAAGAUUAAUAGAAGAAGUAAUUGCUUCAACUAGAACCCCCAGUAAACGGCGGCUGUAAUUCUGACGGUCCAAAGGUAGCGAAAUUCCUUGGCAUUUAAUUGGUGUCCUGCAUGAAUGGCGUAACGACUGUCCUACUGUCUCCAAUAUAAUCUCAGUGAAAUUGAAUUCUCCGUGAAGAUGCGGAGUACCUACGGCUAGACGGAAAGACCCCGUGCACCUUUACUAUAGUUAAGCAUUGCAUCAAUAAAUUUUAUGUGUAGCAUAUGUGGAAAGUUUUUUUUAAGAUUUUUACGCCAGUAUUUUGUUUAAAACUAUCAGUGAAAUACCACUCUUAAAAUUUUUUUGUUGCUCAUUUUUUAGACAGUGUUUAAUGGGUAGUUUGACUGGGGCGGUCGCCUCCUAAAGAGUAACGGAGGCGCACUAAGGUAAGUUCAAAUUGAGAGAUAUCAAUUUCAGAGCGUAAUAGUAUAUACUUGCUUGACUGUAAGAUUGACAAAUCGAACAGGGACGAAAGUCGGUUAUAGUGAUCCGGUGAUUCUGUGUGGAAAUGGUCACCGCUCAACGGAUAAAAGGUACGCCGGGGAUAACAGGCUAAUCACCCUCUAGAGACCCUAUCGACGGGGUGGUUUGGCACCUCGAUGUUGGAUUAUCACAUCCUGAAGCUGAAACAGGUUUCAAGGGUUUGGCUGUUCGCCAAGUAACGUGGUACAUGAUCUGAGUUUAGAACGUCGUGAGACAGUUUGGUCCCUAUCUACCGUAGGCAUUAUGAAAAAUGAGAGAAUUAAACCCUAGUACGAGAGGACCGGGAAAAGUAAACCUAUGGUGUAUCGGUUGUUAUACCAAUGGCAUCGCCGAGUAGCUAAGUUUAUAAUAGAUAAUUAUUGAAAGCAUUUAAGUAAGAAACUAGUCUCAAGAUAUUUUUUCAGUAAUAAACGUAAAAGAUAAUUACGUGAUAGGUUUGGUGUGUAAGAAUUGUAAAAUUUUUAGCUUACAAAUACUAAAUUUAUAGUUAACUUUUUAAUAAA
This 2778-nucleotide ribosomal RNA is filed under the name Guinardia striata. Its description in RNAcentral is "large subunit ribosomal RNA". It matches the Rfam family "Bacterial large subunit ribosomal RNA". The record is from RNAcentral. Lineage: Eukaryota; Bacillariophyta; Coscinodiscophyceae; Rhizosoleniales; Rhizosoleniaceae.